Long non-coding RNA from Platichthys flesus (European flounder), 1084 nucleotides. RefSeq lists it as uncharacterized. The record is from RefSeq and is a predicted model, not a curated record. The transcript is spliced from 4 exons. Lineage: Eukaryota; Metazoa; Chordata; Actinopteri; Pleuronectiformes; Pleuronectidae.
AAGGAACGUGUCAGUAAUCUACAAACCACAACAUCAGUGGAACUUCCUUGUAACUACAAUAUUUUUCUCUUUCAGAACAAGUGCUCAGAGCUAUUGAAGAGCUGCUUUGACAACGUGGGCCCACUGCACUGGAGGAAGCUGUUUCCCCGUGGAGCUCCAGCAGUGCUUAGAGGGCUAAAAAACCUUCACCUGACAUCUUAUCAGCAAGGGGAAACCAGAUGUGACAGCGGUACGCACCGUUGUACUCCGAGGCCUCCCUGUUCUACUUGGUUAUGACCCCAGUGACUUCUACAACACCUGCUUCGAUUGUGACACUGAUGAGACCUGGGUAAAAGUAUCUGUCGGGGUGCUGACUGUUCUCCCUGAAGAUCUGCAACUCCUUCCAAAUCAGCUCCACCUUCACCCAAUGUCUACUGCCAUCAUUGUUGAGGGAGGUAUUGUAAUGGAUGAACUCCAGAACCUACCUGAGGCACUUUGCCUUUUGUUUGGAAUGUCAUACGCUUUGCAUUUAGACUACCCUAAAGCCAUGAAAAACACUUUCUGCUUCAUUCAAAGAGUGAUGCUUGGCUUGGGAGAGGACAAACUCCCACCAAAAUUGCAAAGUCUUAAAAAACUCUUGUUGAGUUAGAAUGCAAAUGUACGAGUGGAUUUAGUUGUUUUUUAUUGUUCACUAAAUUAACACACUCCACUCAAAUUGUCAGCCCAUGGGUUCAUCAGCAAGUAUAGAGGCUGUACAUGUAUGUAUAUUCAUUCACAUGUAUGUGAGAUCCAUUGCCAGUUAUUACCCUGUCAGGUUUUUGCGCUCAUUGAGUAAAGCCACUUUGCACUUUUUUUUUAUUUUUUAUAUAUAUGUAGUUUUUAUUUAGUGAUUUUUGAGUAACAUUAUUCAGGAAUACAAAAGUGCACUUGUCAGCUUGUGGGUUAUUUCCCAUUGGUGGGAAAGAACUGUUGUGUUUACUGUAUUAUUGAUCUUGAUAUUGAUAUUGAGCUGUGUUUGUGGAUGUCUUUCAAGGCAAUCUUUAAGAAAAAAAGUUGAUAUAAAUGGAAGAAAAAUUAAAAACAAUUGAUAUAUUUGAACAUUCAA